UUGAAGUUUGAACAAAUAUUAAGCGUGUUUAGUUGUAUCAAAAUGUGACUUGGUGCCAUCUACUGGCGGUUUCUGGUAUGUUUUGCGUAUUACCGACACUUUUACACUUCCGCUCUGACAGGAAGUAGGAAGUUGUUCCGGUAUCAUCGUCAGUGCGCCUGCUGAUCUCGUCCCAUAAUCUCUCCGCAUCUUUUCCAUCCUCAGCCCUGCAACAGCAUCGCCUCCGUGCCAACACGUGCUGGGAGUUACGUUGGAGGUUUCACCUGCUGCUGAAAUACGAGUGGAUGAUCCUGCCCUUAUUUUUAAUAAGUCAGCUCUGCCCUCAAGAACUGUUACAGCACCCCCCUCUGCUUGGACUGCGCCACAUCCCUUUUGAAGAGCCUGCAGUGUCAAAGGUCUCAUGAUUUGAUCUUCCAGAGCUGUGGAUGGGAAAGCAAAGAUACCAUUUGCUAUCCUGAUGGGAACGCUAGUCAAGGACUCCUGGACCAUCUGCACACCUGUCUGAAGCUCACCUGG
This is a long non-coding RNA of Scleropages formosus (Asian bonytongue), 516 nucleotides long. RefSeq lists it as uncharacterized. The record is from RefSeq and is a predicted model, not a curated record. Lineage: Eukaryota; Metazoa; Chordata; Actinopteri; Osteoglossiformes; Osteoglossidae. The transcript is spliced from 4 exons.